RNAcentral lists this non-coding RNA (148 nucleotides) under Nomascus leucogenys (northern white-cheeked gibbon). Lineage: Eukaryota; Metazoa; Chordata; Mammalia; Primates; Hylobatidae. The record is from Rfam by way of RNAcentral.
GCUGGGCAUGGUGGCUUACGCCUGUAGUCCUAGCUACUGGGGAAGCUGAGGUAGGAGGAUCGCUUGAGCCCAGGAGUUUGAGGUUGCAGUGAGUUAUGAUUGCAGCAUGGCACUCCAGCCUGGGCAACAGAGUGAGACCCUGUCUCAA